AACGGACUGGCGGUCGACUGCCUAACACAAUGCAAGUCGAACGGAGUUAUUAUUCUAGAAGUCUUCGGGAUGGAAGGAUAAGAACUUAGUGGGCGGACGGGGUGAGGUUAACGACGUGGGGUUAACCUGCCCGUUUUCUGGGGGUAACGAACUUACGAGAAAUCGGAGCUAAUACCGCAUAAUAAUAGAGGAUCGCAUGAUUCUUUAAGGAAAGAUGGCCUCUGAAGAUGCUAUCGCAAAAGGAUGGACCCGCGUCUGAUUAGCUAGUUGGAAGGGUAACGGCCUACCAAGGCAACGAUCAGUAGCCGGCCUGAGAGGGUGAACGGCCACAUUGGGACUGAGACACGGCCCAAACUCCUACGGGAGGCAGCAGUGGGGAAUCUUCCGCAAUGGGCGAAAGCCUGACGGAGCAAUGCCGCGUGAGUGAAGAAGGCCUUCGGGUUGUAAAACUCUGUCCUUAUCGAAGAGAGGUAGGUAUGUGAAUAAUGUACCUAUAGGACGGUAGAUAAGGAGGAAGCCCCGGCUACCUACGUG
This 534-nucleotide ribosomal RNA is filed under the name uncultured Peptococcaceae bacterium. RNAcentral's name for it is "bacterial SSU rRNA". It matches the Rfam family "Bacterial small subunit ribosomal RNA", at positions 36 to 507 of the family's 1533-position model. The record is from RNAcentral. Lineage: Bacteria; Bacillati; Bacillota; Clostridia; Eubacteriales; Peptococcaceae.